RNAcentral lists this ribosomal RNA (1334 nucleotides) under metagenome. Its description in RNAcentral is "bacterial LSU rRNA". It matches the Rfam family "Bacterial large subunit ribosomal RNA", at positions 1579 to 2925 of the family's 2925-position model. The record is from RNAcentral.
UGUCGCUCUAUCUUCUUUGGGUCACACUGCCAAGAAAAGCUUCUAGUGAGAAAGUAACUGCCCGUACCGCAAACCGACACAGGUAGUUGAGGAGAGAAUCCUAAGGUGUGCGAGAGAACUCUCGUUAAGGAACUCGGCAAAAUGACCCCGUAACUUCGGGAGAAGGGGUGCUGACCGCAAGGUCAGCCGCAGUGAAUAGGCCCAAGCGACUGUUUAUCAAAAACACAGGUCUCUGCAAAAUCGAAAGAUGACGUAUAGGGGCUGACGCCUGCCCGGUGCUGGAAGGUUAAGAGGAGAGGUUAGCGCAAGCGAAGCUUUGAAUUGAAGCCCCAGUAAACGGCGGCCGUAACUAUAACGGUCCUAAGGUAGCGAAAUUCCUUGUCGGGUAAGUUCCGACCCGCACGAAAGGCGUAACGAUUUGGGCACUGUCUCAACGAGAGACUCGGUGAAAUUAUAGUACCAGUGAAGAUGCUGGUUACCCGCGACAGGACGGAAAGACCCCAUGGAGCUUUACUGCAGUUUGAUAUUGCGUGUUUGUAUCACAUGUACAGGAUAGGUAGGAGCCGAAGAUACCGGGACGCCAGUCUCGGAGGAGGCAACGGUGGGAUACUACCCUUGCGAUAUGACCACUCUAACCCGCUGCUCUUAGCGAGCAGGGAGACAGUGUCAGACGGGCAGUUUGACUGGGGCGGUCGCCUCCAAAAAUGUAACGGAGGCGCCCAAAGGUUCCCUCAGAAUGGUUGGAAGUCAUUCGUAGAGUGUAAAGGCAGAAGGGGGCUUGACUGCGAGACCUACAAGUCGAGCAGGGACGAAAGUCGGGCUUAGUGAUCCGGUGGUUCCGCAUGGAAGGGCCAUCGCUCAACGGAUAAAAGCUACCCUGGGGAUAACAGGCUUAUCUCCCCCAAGAGUUCACAUCGACGGGGAGGUUUGGCACCUCGAUGUCGGCUCAUCGCAUCCUGGGGCUGUAGUCGGUCCCAAGGGUUGGGCUGUUCGCCCAUUAAAGCGGUACGCGAGCUGGGUUCAGAACGUCGUGAGACAGUUCGGUCCCUAUCCGUCGCGGGCGUUGGAAAUUUGAGAGGAGCUGUCCUUAGUACGAGAGGACCGGGAUGGACACACCGCUGGUGUACCAGUUGUUCUGCCAAGAGCAUCGCUGGGUAGCUAUGUGUGGACGGGAUAAACGCUGAAAGCAUCUAAGCGUGAAGCCCCCCUCAAGAUGAGAUUUCCCAUCACUUUAAGUGAGUAAGACCCCUGAGAGAUGAUCAGGUAGAUAGGUUGGGAGUGGAAGUACAGCGAUGUAUGGAGCGGACCAAUACUAAUCGGUCGAGGACUUAACC